This 464-nucleotide long non-coding RNA is filed under the name Setaria viridis. RNAcentral describes it as "long non-coding RNA (SVIR_LNC003336)". Lineage: Eukaryota; Viridiplantae; Streptophyta; Magnoliopsida; Poales; Poaceae. The record is from RNAcentral.
GUCCGUUGCCGCUCUUCCUUGUAGAAUCGGAGCUCCUCCUUGACGUCCGUUGCUGCUCGAUGGAGAACAUGCUCGCCGAGAUGAACAUGGUAUGCAAGUUCAAGAAGUAUGGAUUUGAAAAAUCAUAUUGAAUUUGACAAGAUAAACCAUCUAGAUGAAGGAAGCAUCAUUCUUAAACCACUAUAAGGAUACAUACUAUAUAUGACACAUAUGACAUACUUAUUUUUUCCUCAUAAUUAAUAUUAAAAUUCUCUCCAUUCUACCUCAUAUUUACUCUCCAUUCUCGCUCACAUUCUAGCUCAAAAUCCUCUCUAUUUUCUAUGUCACAUUCUAGCAAAUAAACUAUCCAUCUCCAUUCUACACAUCCAGUUGUUUUAACUAAUACGAAUCGUAUAUAACAAGCAAACUAUCCAUCACAUUCUAGCUCAAAAACAUGUAUAAAUACAAAUCCUCUUCAUUCCCCC